Molecule: ribosomal RNA, 297 nt
Filed under: Triticum aestivum (bread wheat)
Lineage: Eukaryota; Viridiplantae; Streptophyta; Magnoliopsida; Poales; Poaceae
Description: partial small subunit ribosomal RNA
Source: RNAcentral
CCAGAAAGAAACAACCUAGAGGAUUGGGAGGCCGAACAUGCAAGGAGAAGCUUCAUCCCAUACGGGAAAUCCGUGUUAUUAUCCCAGUUGAACGCAAAGGUGGAGCCUCGCAGCACCCUGAUAGAAUUGAAAACCAUGAGAGAGAUGGAAGAAAUUCGGAAUAAGGCAGCCGAAGGAUCCUCUCCAAUUCCAAAGAACAAUCUUGGUUUGCCAGGAAGAAUUCCACGAUUGACAAGUAGUCAUCAAUCCAGGAGGCUGUUUGGUACUGUGGCAUCGACAGCCUUGAAACUGUUAAAG